Molecule: ribosomal RNA, 610 nt
Filed under: Psychrobacter sp.
Lineage: Bacteria; Pseudomonadati; Pseudomonadota; Gammaproteobacteria; Moraxellales; Moraxellaceae
Description: partial 16S ribosomal RNA
Rfam family: Bacterial small subunit ribosomal RNA
Source: RNAcentral
GCAAGUCGAGCGGUAACGAGGCGAAGCUUGCUGCCCGGUGUCGAGCGGCGGACGGGUGAGUAACGCUUAGGAAUCUACCUAGUAGUGGGGGAUAGCCCGGGGAAACCCGGAUUAAUACCGCAUACGUCCUACGGGAGAAAGGGGGCGAUUUGCUGAUCUUGCUCUUUUGUGAGCCUCUAUCUGAUUAUCUCUUUGGGGGGGUAAAGGCCUCCCCCGGCGACAAUAUGCAUCUGGGCUGAGAGGAGGAUCUCCCCCACCGGGACUGAGACACGGCCCGGACUCCUACAGGAGGCGCCACUGGGGAAAAUUGGACAAUGGGGGCGACCCUGAUCCCCCCCUGCCCCGCGUGUGAAAAAAGCGUUUUGGUUGUGAAGCACUUUUUCCAUUGGAAAAAACCUCUUGGGUAAUACCCCUUAGCGGUGACAUUUUCUGCACAAUAAACACCGGCUAACUCUGUGCGCCCACCCGCGGUAAUACACAGGGUGCGCGCGCUWAUCUCAAUUACAGUGCGUAUAGCGAGCGUAUGUGUCUUGAGAARUCAGAUGUGAGAUCCCCGGGCUUAUACUGUGAACUGCGUCUGAUACUGUGACGCUAUAAUAUGUGAGAGGAA